CAGUCGCCGCGGGAAUACGGAGGGGGCUAGCGUUGUUCGGAAUUACUGGGCGUAAAGCGCACGUAGGCGGAUAUUUAAGUCAGGGGUGAAAUCCCAGAGCUCAACUCUGGAACUGCCUUUGAUACUGGGUAUCUUGAGUAUGGAAGAGGUAAGUGGAAUUCCGAGUGUAGAGGUGAAAUUCGUAGAUAUUCGGAAGAACACCAGUGGCGAAGGCGGGUUUCUAGCUAAUGAUUGACGCUGAUAUGCGAAGGUGCGGGGAGCAAACAGGAUUAGAUACCCGAGUAGUCCCUGUCUCUUAUAC
RNAcentral lists this ribosomal RNA (301 nucleotides) under uncultured bacterium. RNAcentral describes it as "partial 16S ribosomal RNA". It matches the Rfam family "Bacterial small subunit ribosomal RNA", at positions 509 to 807 of the family's 1533-position model. The record is from RNAcentral.